UACACUCCUACGGGAGGCAGCAGUGGGGAAUAUUGCACAAUGGGCGCAAGCCUGAUGCAGCGACGCCGCGUGGGGGAUGAAGGCCUUCGGGUUGUAAACUCCUUUCGCUAGGGACGAAGCUUUUUUGUGACGGUACCUAGAUAAGAAGCACCGGCUAACUACGUGCCAGCAGCCGCGGUAAUACGUAGGGUGCGAGCGUUGUCCGGAAUUACUGGGCGUAAAGGGCUCGUAGGUGGUUUGUCGCGUCGUCUGUGAAAUUCUGGGGCUUAACUCCGGGCGUGCAGGCGAUACGGGCAUAACUUGAGUGCUGUAGGGGUAACUGGAAUUCCUGGUGUAGCGGUGAAAUGCGCAGAUAUCAGGAGGAACACCGAUGGCGAAGGCAGGUUACUGGGCAGUUACUGACGCUGAGGAGCGAAAGCAUGGGUAGCGAACAGGAUUAGAAACCCGAGUAGUCCCAUG
Molecule: ribosomal RNA, 459 nt
Filed under: uncultured organism
Description: partial 16S ribosomal RNA
Rfam family: Bacterial small subunit ribosomal RNA
Source: RNAcentral